GCCAGCAGCCGCGGUAAUACGUAGGUGGCAAGCGUUGUCCGGAAUUACUGGGUGUAAAGGGCGAGUAGGUGGAUCACUAAGUCAGAGGUGAAAACCCAUGGCUAAACUGUGGGAUAGCAACUGAAACUAGAGAUCUUGAGUACUGGAGAGGGAAGCGGAAUUCCUAGUGUAGCGGUGAAAUGCGUAGAUAUUAGGAGGAACACCAGUGGCGAAGGCGGCUUCCUGGACAGAGACUGACACUGAGGCGCGAAAGCGUGGGGAGCGAACAGGAUUAGAUACCCUGGUAGUCCACGCUGUAAACGAUGGAUACUAGGUGUAGGUGGUAAGAAACCAUCUGUGCCGGAGUAAACACAAUAAGUAUCCCACCUGGGGAGUACAGCCGCAAGGUUGAAACUCAAAGGAAUUGACGGGGGCCCGCACAAGCAGUGGAGUAUGUGGUUUAAUUCGAAGCAACGCGAAGAACCUUACCAGGGCUUGACAUCCCUUGAACUAUCUAGAGAUAGGUAGGGCCUACGGGACAAGGAGACAGGUGGUGCAUGGUUGUCGUCAGCUCGUGUCGUGAGAUGUUGGGUUAAGUCCCGCAACGAGCGCAACCCUUAUAGCUAGUUGCCAGCAAUAAGAUGGGGACUCUAGCGAGACAGCCGUUGAGAAAACGGAGGAAGGAAAGGAUGACGUCAAAUCAUCAUGCCCCUUAUGCUCUGGGCUACACACGUACUACAAUGGCUACUACAGAGGGAAGCGAAGCCAGGAGGCGGAGCAAAUCUCAAAAAGGUAGUCCCAGUUCAGAUUGUAGGCUGAAACUCGCCUGCAUGAAGUAGGAAUUGCUAG
This 828-nucleotide ribosomal RNA is filed under the name uncultured organism. Its description in RNAcentral is "bacterial SSU rRNA". It matches the Rfam family "Bacterial small subunit ribosomal RNA", at positions 507 to 1338 of the family's 1533-position model. The record is from RNAcentral.